AUGUAUAAGACAGAUUAACUUGUCUAUUAAAUGAUUAGUAAAACUAUUCAAGAGCUAUUAACUUUGUCAAAUUGUUGAUCAAUCAUCAUCAUCACCAGUGUCAUCUUUAACUAUCAAGUGAUUCCCUUCAAAAUCAUUUAAAACUUGUAUUCGUCAGAACCAUUUGAAGUCAAUUCUUACCAUAGGUGUUUUAUCCUCUCAACUAAUGGAUGGACCUAGUUAACAACUGUUCUGAUUGACUUCAAUCAUGUUAAAUCUUGUAAAUGGUUUAAAUAAUGAGCUUUCAGAUAAAGCAUAUAAUUCAGAACUGUUACCUGAUUAAAAGUAAAGUCCCUCAUAAUAAUCAAAUUACAUAAAAAAGAGUAUUGGACUAAAGAAAGAAGAGCAAAAUGAAGCAGCAAACAAUAUGUCAAACUAUUAAACGCUGGUAACCAUUUCUAUCCCUGUUGUUGCAUCGAUGAGAAUGCCAAACCAUGGUAAUACUGAUUCGAAGAUGAUUAAAGGCAAUGAUGAUGAUCGUGGUGGCCGCCCUUUACCUUGACUGUUGAACCUAUCUGAAGAAGUAAAUGAUCAUUAUGAUGACAAAAGUGAUUAUUUCUCGCAGAAGUUUCUUAUUGUUGGUUGGUCUAAAAGAAAUAGAAAGAUACAAAUUGUUGAUGAAAUCCUUGUGAUUGAUGAUUCAAAUUGCAAUGGAAAAUAAAAAUUGGUCUCAAUCAUUGUGGAGUUAAAUUGAUGGAGAAUAAGUCACAAAUUUUAUGGUUAAACGAACACGAACAUCAUCAACAUCAUCAUAAUCACCAUCACCAGGAUCAGGAUCAUCAUACUUAUAGUUGCCAUCAUCUAUGCGUGUUGCGUUUUUGUUAUCAAAACAUCUUUCAACAGCUUGUUAAAAGGAUAAUCAGCAGAUUGAUAAAUUGGUGUGGUUUAGUGAUGAAAAUGAGUUGAUUAAAAUGAUUUUUUCUCUUCUCA
This is a long non-coding RNA of Tetranychus urticae (two-spotted spider mite), 969 nucleotides long. RefSeq lists it as uncharacterized. The record is from RefSeq and is a predicted model, not a curated record. Lineage: Eukaryota; Metazoa; Arthropoda; Arachnida; Trombidiformes; Tetranychidae.